This 76-nucleotide transfer RNA is filed under the name Thiocystis minor. RNAcentral's name for it is "tRNA-Thr". It matches the Rfam family "tRNA". Rfam says of the family: Transfer RNA (tRNA) molecules are approximately 80 nucleotides in length. Their secondary structure includes four short double-helical elements and three loops (D, anti-codon, and T loops). Lineage: Bacteria; Pseudomonadati; Pseudomonadota; Gammaproteobacteria; Chromatiales; Chromatiaceae. The record is from RNAcentral. RNAcentral also lists the same sequence under 6 other names.
GCCCAUGUAGCUCAGUUGGUAGAGCACACCCUUGGUAAGGGUGAGGUCAUCGGUUCGACUCCGAUCAUGGGCUCCA